AUUAAACGCUGGCGGCAUGCCUUACACAUGCAAGUCGAACGGCAGCACGGGGGCGACCCUGGUGGCGAGUGGCGAACGGGUGAGUAAAGCAUCGGAACGUGCCCUGGAAUGGGGGAUAACGUAGCGAAAGUUACGCUAAUACCGCAUAUUCUGUGAGCAGGAAAGCAGGGGAUCGCAAGACCUUGCGUUUCAGGAGCGGCCGAUGUCGGAUUAGCUAGUUGGUGGGGUAAAGGCCUACCAAGGCGACGAUCCGUAGCGGGUCUGAGAGGAUGAUCCGCCACACUGGAACUGAGACACGGUCCAGACUCCUACGGGAGGCAGCAGUGGGGAAUUUUGGACAAUGGGCGCAAGCCUGAUCCAGCCAUGCCGCGUGAGUGAAGAAGGCCUUCGGGUUGUAAAGCUCUUUCGGCCGGGAAGAAAUCGCACGGGAGAAUACCCUGUGUGGAUGACGGUACCGGAGUAAGAAGCACCGGCUAACUACGUGC
Molecule: ribosomal RNA, 485 nt
Filed under: uncultured Rhodocyclaceae bacterium
Lineage: Bacteria; Pseudomonadati; Pseudomonadota; Betaproteobacteria; Rhodocyclales; Rhodocyclaceae
Description: bacterial SSU rRNA
Rfam family: Bacterial small subunit ribosomal RNA
Source: RNAcentral